AAUCAUUGGUGGACCCCACAACGGAAUUAUUGUUGGAUUAAGAAAACGACAAAAAUAUUUUUAUGAAAAUAACGGCGGAGGUGUUACCGUUAAAACUGUUGAACUACUCGGUAGUAAAAGUACAGUAAUACACGUGGUUGCAUAGUAGCAUACGGUAUUGAUUAUUGAUGUUUACGUGAAAAGUCACUCAGAUAUACUCAAUUAUUGCUACAGUAAUUGCUGCAUCAUAUCUCUCAUAUUAUUGAUUCAAUUAUUGUUACAGUAUCAUCUGCAUAAUAUGAUAUAUUAUUAAAUCAAUAAUUGAG
Molecule: long non-coding RNA, 305 nt
Filed under: Panax ginseng (ginseng)
Lineage: Eukaryota; Viridiplantae; Streptophyta; Magnoliopsida; Apiales; Araliaceae
Description: long non-coding RNA (PGIN_LNC007317)
Source: RNAcentral